Molecule: ribosomal RNA, 119 nt
Filed under: Oreochromis niloticus (Nile tilapia)
Lineage: Eukaryota; Metazoa; Chordata; Actinopteri; Cichliformes; Cichlidae
Source: RNAcentral
GCUUACGGCCAUACCACCCUGAACACGCCCGAUCUCGUCUGAUCUCGGAAGCUAAGCAGGGUCGGCCCUGGUCAGUACUUGGAUGGGAGCCCGCCUGGGAAUACCAGGUGCUGUAAGCU